UGGGGAAUAUUGCACAAUGGGCGCAAGCCUGAUGCAGCCAUGCCGCGUGUAUGAAGAAGGCCUUCGGGUUGUAAAGUACUUUCAGCGAGGAGGAAGGCGUUGUGGUUAAUAACCGCAGCGAUUGACGUUACUCGCAGAAGAAGCACCGGCUAACUCCGUGCCAGCAGCCGCGGUAAUACGGCGGGCGCAAGCGUUCAUCGGAAUUACUGGGCGUAAAGCGCACGCAGGCGGUCUGUCAAGUCGGAUGUGAAAUCCCCGGGCUCAACCUGGGAACUGCAUCCGAAACUGGCAGGCUAGAGUCUUGUAGAGGGGGGUAGAAUUCCAGGUGUAGCGGUGAAAUGCGUAGAGAUCUGGAGGAAUACCGGUGGCGAAGGCGGCCCCCUGGACAAAGACUGACGCUCAGGUGCGAAAGCGUGGGGAGCAAACA
RNAcentral lists this ribosomal RNA (427 nucleotides) under uncultured bacterium. Its description in RNAcentral is "partial 16S ribosomal RNA". It matches the Rfam family "Bacterial small subunit ribosomal RNA", at positions 355 to 774 of the family's 1533-position model. The record is from RNAcentral.